UACGUAGGGUGCAAGCGUUAAUCGGAAUUACUGGGCGUAAAGCGUGCGCAGGCGGUUUUGUAAGACAGGCGUGAAAUCCCCGGGCUCAACCUGGGAAUUGCGCUUGUGACUGCAAAGCUGGAGUGCAGCAGAGGGGGAUGGAAUUCCGCGUGUAGCAGUGAAAUGCGUAGAUAUGCGGAGGAACACCGAUGGCGAAGGCAAUCCCCUGGGCCUGCACUGACGCUCAUGCACGAAAGCGUGGGGAGCAAACAGG
RNAcentral lists this ribosomal RNA (253 nucleotides) under uncultured bacterium. Its description in RNAcentral is "partial 16S ribosomal RNA". It matches the Rfam family "Bacterial small subunit ribosomal RNA", at positions 524 to 776 of the family's 1533-position model. The record is from RNAcentral.